GGAACUGCUGGGACAUUCAAUUGCUUAAGCAAUUAAUUACUGGGCAGAAAUGGAAGGCUGUAUGUUCUCAUGGGUGACUCCCUGCAAGUGUUAGAAGUUAUGGCAACUAACUGCAAGAUGAACCUUUAUGAAUCUUAUUCAUAAAUGUAAUAACUGAUGGCAACUGCUCACAUAUGAAUAUUGAGUGGGGAACUUGCAGGAGAGCUUGGAGAGAUCUAGCGGGAGUUGCAAUGGGGAGAGCCUUUUCUAGGACCUUCUCAAGGAGGACAAGCUAACAUUUGCUACUCUGCCUCCUGCAGCUCAAAUUGGAGGGACUGAAACUGAUGACAUCAGCUUGAAUAUUGAGAUGGAGCCUGAAGGGGACCUUUCUGACAUGCUGCAAGCAGCGUUGGCUACUGAUGGGAAUGCUGCCUCCACAUAUUUCCUGAUACUAAGGUUCUGCAGUUCUCCAUAGAGAGAGAGGAAAGGCUGCUGACCUGGUGCCUGAAGUUGUGAGUAGAGCCUGGAGCUGUGAU
This 515-nucleotide long non-coding RNA is filed under the name Anser brachyrhynchus (Pink-footed goose). Its description in RNAcentral is "lncRNA (ENSABRG00000012566.1)". The record is from RNAcentral. Lineage: Eukaryota; Metazoa; Chordata; Aves; Anseriformes; Anatidae.